RNAcentral lists this ribosomal RNA (479 nucleotides) under uncultured bacterium. RNAcentral's name for it is "bacterial SSU rRNA". It matches the Rfam family "Bacterial small subunit ribosomal RNA", at positions 364 to 833 of the family's 1533-position model. The record is from RNAcentral.
UUUCGCAAUGCCCGAAAGGGUGACGAAGCGACGCCGCGUGUGGGAAGAAGGCCUUCGGGUUGUAAACCACUGUCGGGAGUUAGGAAAUGUAAGGGUGUUAAUAGCAUCCUUACUUGACUAAGGCUCCGGAGGAAGCCACGGCUAACUCUGUGCCAGCAGCCGCGGUAAUACAGAGGCGGCAAGCGUUGUUCGGAAUUAUUGGGCGUAAAGAGCACGUAGGCGGCCUUGUAAGUCAGUUGUGAAAGCCUUCUGCUUAACGGAAGGACAGCAGCUGAUACUGCAAGGCUAGAGUGCGGAAGGGGAGAGUGGAACUUCUGGUGGAGCGGUGAAAUGCGUAGAUAUCAGAAGGAACACCGGCGGCGAAGGCGACUCUCUGGUCCGUAACUGACGCUGAGUGUGCGAAAGCUAGGGGAGCAAACGGGAUUAGAUACCCCGGUAGUCCUAGCCGUAAACGAUGGGCACUAAGUAGAGGGGUUUUA